UACAGAGGGUGCGAGCGUUGUCCGGAAUCACUGGGCGUAAAGGGCGCGUAGGUGGUGGCUUAAGCGUGCGGUGAAAGCUCGGAGCUCAACUCCGAGUCGGCCGUGCGAACUGGGCUCACUGGAGCAUAGUAGAGGCAGGUGGAAUUCCGGGUGUAGCGGUGGAAUGCGUAGAGAUCCGGAGGAAGACCGGUGGCGAAGGCGGUCUGCUGGGCAGUUUCUGACACUGAGGCGCGACAGCGUGGGGAGCAAACAGG
RNAcentral lists this ribosomal RNA (254 nucleotides) under uncultured bacterium. Its description in RNAcentral is "partial 16S ribosomal RNA". It matches the Rfam family "Bacterial small subunit ribosomal RNA", at positions 524 to 776 of the family's 1533-position model. The record is from RNAcentral.